ACUAUUAAGCUAAACCCAAAACCCUAGAAUCACCUAGUCGAUAACAAUCAAAACAAAAUAAGCAUGCAAAAGAGAUAGAAUUUUUACUUUCAUCAAAAAGAAUAAAGUGGCACAUUGGUGUUCUCCAUGAGACUUCAAAGUACAAGUCCUCCAAUGGUGAUCCAUAUGGAAGUUAGCCAAGAUCCUUCCUAACUGGUGCGCUACCGCAGCCUCUUCUUUUAAAAAAUACUGCCA
This 234-nucleotide long non-coding RNA is filed under the name Elaeis guineensis (African oil palm). RNAcentral describes it as "long non-coding RNA (EGUI_LNC063018)". Lineage: Eukaryota; Viridiplantae; Streptophyta; Magnoliopsida; Arecales; Arecaceae. The record is from RNAcentral.